AAAGCAAAAGCUUAGCUCUUGCAAUUACGAGACCAACCAUUCUGUGUAAACAUGCUAUCCCAAUUGCUAAUAUUAUGUCCACACAUGGAAUCGAUAUAUGCAAAGUCCCACGUGCAGUAAGUAAUAUGUUGAGUGCAUCCAAUAUUUUCAAUGCACAUUUACUCACGUAACCAGGCAAUACCUUAAAGUAAGUGGGUGUGCAGUUCCUGCAUCUCCACCAAUCACUACUCCACGACUUUGGUUUGUAUAAAUUGACUUUAGUUCAUUUUCUUUACUUGGUCUACCAUCUGUGGUUAUCAUCUGCCGAUGGUUUUGACAGCAAGCUUCUUCAUAGUGCUACUCUUUUCACCAAAGAAAUCCCAGUUGGAUCACCACCCCACUCUUCAAACACAACCAACAAGUUUCCAGUUGGGUUCAGCCAAGCGCGAGGAACAUGAUACCUGAGAUUUGUGGUCAGUAAUCAGUCAUUUAUUCGAUUCUUUUGCAUGCUUUGACUGAAGUGGACAAAAAGGCAGGUGUUUCAUUACCAUUUUUGAGAAGGCUCCCCACAAUUAGUCUGGCAUUUCUUCUCGUUGUAUGUCCCUCUGUAAUCGCACCAAUCACAAGAACCAUAUGCCUUAUAGGCAGGCCAAUAUCUGCCAAUGCUUUGUCCAUUGAUCCAUAUCUGACCUUUGCCCAUGCUACUCAUGUCUAAUGCCAAUGGCUCGUUCCCAGCUGGAGCAUUAAAGAAAGCCUGGAAGAUGACAAAGAUUGAGUGAGAAAAUAGUCUCAAGCAUGAGAGGAAAGAAGAUGAACUUUAGGAUAACAUGUUUCUGUGUUGCAAGCGGUUCUGACCUUGUACCAAGUCAAGGGCUGCCUUGUAGAUGCACCCCCCCACUUAACUGAAGAACUGCCACUAAGUGUAUAGAUGCUCAGGGAUUCACCUCUAAGGCCGAUCUACACACACAAACAUGGAACUCAGUAACCAGUAAGCAAGUUUUAGUCAGAGAGUCAGCAGGUAGGAAGAGUUGAUUGGAACCUGGUAAAUCCAUUUCUGUGAUGAAAGGUCUCUCUUUCCUUCAUUGAGACCGUCCAGGGUCACUGGACCAAGAACACCAGCAUUCCAUGUCUCAAAGUGGUUGCCAAUAUUCUGAAACAGAUAAAGAACAGGAAUACGGAGUCUAAACAUCCAUCUUGUGUGUGUAUAAUUGUAUAGGGUUAUUGGUAUGAUAUUUCAACUUUUGGAUCAAUGGCCAGGAAAUAUUUCGCAACAAAGAAUGUACUCACAGGAAGACCAACAGCGACACUUAGAAUCGAGAUUUUGUUGCUUCCUGCCCACAACUUCACAUUUCCUGUGAAUCUUAUCUUUGGAUUGUCCAAACUACCAUAGACAGUCCCUGCCAGAAGAAAAGAUAAGCAAAAAACAAAUCGGAACCUCACCAAACGUCGAGCAUAUCAUCAAGAAACAAUUCUUCACAAGGCAAAGCCACUCACCGGCCAGUUCUCCAUUGAUGAAAACAUGCAUAGAAUGACCUGCCGACAUCACAGUUAGGAAAGGGUAUCGACCAUUCUUCAAGAAUUGCUCAUUUGAGUCUAUGUUAACACUGAAGAGUGGAGAUCGUGAGUCAUUGAGUGAUAGAGGUCAUUGAUUCUGUCUCAAAUAGAGAAGCUGCAAAGGAACGUCUACUCACUAUGUAGUGUACCACAGGUAGUCUGUCCGAUCCCAUGUCAUGCUUAUCUGCUCCACCAAUCCAUCUUUUGAGAAUGAUUUAUCCCUCAGUGAGUGGGUAUCCUCACUGAAGGACUCCCAAGAAAAUCCGCCAACCCAAGUCAUAUUAAUCUGCGACGUCGGAGCUCCUACCUGUGUUUAUCAUUAGCAUCUUUGUGUUUAAGACAGUCAUGAAAAUUCAACCAUGGAAGUCCUAUUCCAUCCAAGAAAAUUUGGAAUACAUAGCGAGAGAUACAUUUUCCUGAGCCAAGAAACAAACAACUCAACGGAGAGGUGAGUUUUAUGAGUAUAGGAAUAGAAUGCAACCGUGACCAUUAAUCAUCAAAGAUUUCUCACCUUUGCAGUGUUGAACACUGCGGUUUUGCAGUCUGGAAGAAUGCUGACGGACCAAGCUGGAAUAUGAUACUUCAUUCCGUUGAAAGUAACAGGUGCAUAAGAACGGGAGUUGAAAUUAGAAAGGAAUGCAGCACAAGCGCCUGACUUCGAUCUGUAUACAUGCGCCUGCAAGAAGUCGAACGUAGAAAAGUUCCAAAAUGCCAAAUCAUCGAAAAUAUUCUUGCAAAUUUUACAGCAAGAUAUAAGAAUUGAACCUCCUGAUAUUUUCCGAGAUUUGUCACUGUGGGAUCCCCAGAGACGAGAGCUGGUUCACACGAUUUGAUUGCUUUAUGCAGGUCUGUCAGAUGUCCCCAUUUCGGUUGCCUUAACAGACCUGAGAAAGAUUACAAUAUGUUUAUCACCAGAUAGAGGGAAUGGUAAUAGUCGGCAUCAAAUAGAUUUGUAUUGCAUCAUCAGAUGCUUGACCAAUGAGACUGCACAGUGUCUUCUUCGUAGAAGAGGAACAAGAUUUUAGCACCAAAAAGAAGACAUAGGAAAAGCAUAAGCAAACUGAGUGGGAACUGUAUUACCUCUAAUCUUCUCUUAAUCUUGAAAGAACCCAAGUAUUUGACCUAAAUAAUUCUUUGUGUGUGGUAGAUGAUCAAGCCAACCAUUCAUGCCCUUUUCCCCCACCCACGGACAAACUUCUAAACAAGAUGUUUGAUAUAAUGUUUAUGUAUGUUUGUAUCUUUUGACAUGUUCGCACAACAUAUAGAGGGACGAUCGAAUACUUAAUUACCCCAUUUCAGUUAGGUUUGGUGGUCGCUUUUGGCUUAUAAAUAAAAAUUAUAUUAUGUGGACACUUGCGAGAGAUAUUCGAUCUGUAUUGGACCAUUUUGACCCUUUGUUGUGCAACCAUUCAGAACUUGUAAAGUCAUGUUGAUAAUUUGCAUUGGUUAUGAGGUGUUUUUUGGAAUGUUUGUUUAUGGAUUCCGAGUGAGGCAUUUUCUCUAACUCGUUUUCUCUUUUGUAGGUCCUAAGAGACCAUGGGAGGUUUCGGAAAGACUGACCUUUACGGACGGACACACAAGGGUAUUGCACAACUUUGGCAAAGCCAACUAACCUCAUUUUAGUUAGGUUUGGUGGCCGUUUUAGGCUUAUAAAUAAAAAUUGUAUUAUGUGGACACUUGCGAGAGAUAUUCGGUCUGUAUUGGAUCAUUUUGACUCUUUGUUGUGCAACCGUUCAAAACUUGUAAAGUCUGUUGAUAAUUUGCAUUGGCUAUGAGGUGUUUUUUGGAAUGUUUGCUGAUGGAUUCUGAGUGAGGCGUUUUCUCUAACCCAUUUUCUCUUUUGUAGGUCUUAAGAGACCAUGAGAGGUUUUGGAGAGGCUGACUUUUGCGAACGGAUAUGCAAGAGUACCGCACGACUUAAACAAAACCAACUAAAUCCAUCAUCAAAAGCAUGACCUCCAACGGGGCGAAUUCAUAAGAAGUCACAAGUUAGACCAAAACCAUAUCAUUACAACGUGAAAAUUAUUACAAAUGUUAGAAAAAUGGCAUACCGUAUUCAUCGAUUGGGGCAUCAUAGUCAUAGCUGGUCGCAAUAAAAGGACCACCAGCCGUCCUACCGAAGUUGGUUCCUCCAUGGUACUGCAGUUGACGUAAACAUGCAAAUUCGUUUACUUCAACAUGAUGGACAGCAAUCAGUAAUUACUGAAACAACUGAGGUAGAACAUACAAUUUCUUACCAUAUAGUAGUUAACGAAGGAACCACCUUUCGCUAUAAACCUUGCGACAGCAAAAGCCAUGUCCUGAACAGGCCGGUGAGGAACUGGACCCCCGAAACCAGUGAACCUAUUAACAUAGAAUACAUAGAAUAAAUUCACUGGAUAGAUUAAUUUCUUGUGAAAAUUUAUAUGAAUUCAAAUGUGAAGAAGUAGCGGUUACCAGCCAGUCCAAGCUUCAGUCCACAUGGUCGGUUUAUAAGGCUUGUUUGGUGAGAAGUAAUCGCAGUAGAACCCAUUGCAGGCAUUGAUCUUUAAAGACAAAAGCCCAAAAAAAGAGAUCACAAUAAGUCACCCAAGCUGGUCUAACAUGCAACUACAAACCCUCUAAUUAGGGCAGCUGGAAUUUAAGUAGAUAAAAGUCAUGUUGGACUUGACAAGGUAGAGAAGGAACAUGAACUUGGGGUUCUUCCUGAUGUGGUAGAACAAGAAAACCGAAAGCUUGGACUUACCACUGGAUCAGGUGCAUCAUCUUGCUUGCACAUGACCCACGGCACACCGGUGUUGAGACCCACUGCCAUUUGAGCAGCCCAGCUUAGGUAGUUCUUGGCUGCAGCGCCGUCAUAGUACUCCUGUAUACUAUAUUCGUUUUCAAUCUGCUCAAGUUAGACAAAGAGCAUGGAAGAACAGAAAGCGAAUUAGAUGAGAUCUUUGGGAGCUGAUCAACUCGAUGACACAUAAAAGCUAACGAAUUGAUGAAAGCAAAGAAGGAAUGGAUUCGAUGAUACCUGAGAGAGGAUAAUGGGACCACCCUGUGAUUCAAAUAAUCCUUCAGACUUCAUCAUGGCGACAAUCUUCUCUGUGAACUUCGCCAUGGCCGCCUUUUACAUGAAUAGACCAAUUAGCAAUUGCUCGGUUAGAGGAGAUCGAGUAUAAACAUGUAAAGAGAAGUUCCUGUGGAUUCUUACCUUGAAAGGUCCAUUGUCGCUCCUGAAAGUGAUGCCAGGAACAUAUUUUAACCAGACAGGAAAUCCCCUGUUUUACAAAGACAAGAUGAACAACAGAACAGCAUCAUCAGAUUGCAUGAUUAGGCUUUUGAUUCCACAUAGAAGAAUUAAUUGAAGACCUCGACCUCGUACCCAAAGUUCCAUUCGGCACAAACAUAAGGACCAAUCCGGAGAUGAACAUAGAGGCCGGCCUGCUUCACCAGCUUGAUGAAGCGAACCAGGUCGUAAUUACCACCAAAAUAAUACUGCCAAAGAUCAAGAAAAGCAACAAAUUGAGGCACACUAUGGGAAGGAGCAGUAGCCUUAGACGAGAGGGCUGGGAAAGGUUGGGUGAUCUCCGAACCUGGCCAGGGGACGGCUCGUGGCCGUUCCAGAACACAUAGGUCUGGAUAACAUCCAAGCCGCCAUCUUUAGCCUUCUGGAUGAGAUCCGGCCACAUCUGGAGACGAUCCAAUCGACAAAGUUCAGGUUUUGACGCGGUAGAAUAACAGUGCACGAACAGCUCACCAAAAAGGCCACAUUUCCCACAGAAUUGGAGACCUUACCUCCGGGGUGCUCCUGGGAUAGUGAAUGGAACCGGAGAUUAGAAUCCUCCUCUGCCCAUUGACGAUGAUAGCCUUGUGGUCGUAGGAAACGGAGGCAUCGACCGGAGAGGAAUGCCACGGAGACGACACCACCACCAACGCCACCGCCAGUAGCAGCAGCGUCGACAGUCCGCGGCCGCACCCAAGCGUUAUAAGCUCGAGGCUCAUGGUGGCCGGUCGGUCUUACCUUCAGAGGAGUCUCCUUUAGUGUUCUGGAUGUAUAAUAUGUGAAUGAUGGAGAUUCGUGCGCGCUGUUCUUCCGUCUUCUCCUCCGCUAGAGAAGUUCCGACGGAACUAUUGAGCAGUAGCGUUACUGCAACAAGCACACACCGAGGAAGAGAGAGGGAGAUCAAAGAGGAGGGAGGGAAGAGGGCGGACGUGGAGUGGGAGCGCGGGGGCGGGGAGGACGGGGGAGGGCGAUGUGCCUCUUGCGGUAUAAAUACCCGACGGGCGCAAGCGAGCACAGGAUUGGCGCUGGAAUACGCGGGUCCCAAAGCGCCAGCCACGUCAACGUUUUCUUCCAUUCCCCCUGAACAGGAAAAAAUCAAAUGGACCGAAGCGUGGGGCCAUCUGCUUGUAAGAAAGUGGACCAAUUAAGAUAAAGCUUUGAUAGUUGGCAAGGAUCGACAGAGUCAAAAUAUUUUGUUAAAAUUAUUAUUUGAGAAAAUUAGGACAGAUAGGUUAUGUGGAAUAAUAUUAGAAACUAAUAAUAUUAGUUUAGUUUUGUAAGAAAAUUUUAUGUUGAUGAUAUUUUUUAGUUGUCUAAUAUAUCGAUAUACAUUAUGAUAGUAAGCGAGUUAGAUAACAUAUCCAUAACCAUGAUAUAAAUAUUUUUUUAUAAAAUUACAUAUACAUGAUAUACCUAAAGGGUUUGAUGAGAUAUAUCAUAUUAUUAUUUUAUUAUGUGAAUAACAAUUUUUUUAUAUGUUAAUUUAGUUUCACAUAAGAAAUGUAUAAAGAUUUAGAUAAGAGUAUGAUAAUUGUACCAUUCUUAUCGUGAGUUUAGAGGGAUUUAACUCAAAGUAUCUCUCUCAGACGAAGAUUAUAUAUGUGGCAGAUAAGGCUAAGCCAGAUAGGAGAGAAAGGUAUGUUUUUAAAUAAAUAAAGCUUUUUAAGCAAUGGAAUAUUGUCAAAAUUAAAAUAAUAUGAAUACUAUAUUUUUGAAAAGCAAAUAAAGUUUCUUGAGUUGUAAUGAUAUCCAUUUUAAGCAAAUAUAAUUGCUGCAUUAUAUUUUUAAUGUCGAUGCCAAUAUUUAUAGUCACUGAUUAAAACAUGCCACAUAUAAUAUUUUCUUUCAAUACCAGAAAGAUAUUUAUAGUAUGAAUGAAAGGAUAAAUUUAGCUGAAUAUGGAACAUGAUGAACCAUAUCAUAACCAAUCCUCAAUUGAACUAAAACUUAAUCCUUACAGAAAUAGUUUGUAAUCAUCCUAAACUGGUCUAAAUAGAUUUCUAUUUUAGAUUAAACUGGCCUAGACAGUGCCUGACCCAGUCUGAUCCUUGAUAAGUGGUCAAGCCAAGCUACUGAAAUGUUGACCUCUGUGUUUGUAACUCAUGAUGAAAUUCUAAGUGACAUUAACAGUUUCUUCUUUAUAGUUGAUAAAUCAUUGUCAUCUCUUUCUAAAAAUAAAAAUAAAAAAAGCUGGGAAUAAAAAUAUCUAUAACAAUGCCUUUUUCCUGGCACCAGAUUGUAUCUUUACCACUAAUUUCUUGUUUCUUGCACUGUUGCACAUGAUCAUCAUGCAUCUUGUUAGACAUCUCAAGUGGUUGCCACAUAGUUCAGAGCUCAGAAGCACAGCCACACAAUUGCAUCAGGAAUCAAAAUGCUUAUAAGCUUUGCAGAAGCAAUGGAAAAGGCAAAGGAUGAUAACUUAAUAUGGAUCAAAAUGCUUAUAAGCUUAAGUAGUACAGAAGCAAAAGCUUAGCUCUUGCAAUUACAAGACCGACCAACCAUUUUGUGUAAACAUGCUAUCCCAAUUGCUAAUAUUAUGUCCACACAUGGACUCAAUAUAUGCAGAAUCCCACGUGCAGUAAGUAAUAUGUUGAGUGCAUCCAAUAUUUUCUAUGCACAUUUACUCACGUAACCAGGCAAUACCUUAAAGUGGGUGUGCAGUUCCUGCAUCUCCACCAAUCACUACUCCACGACUUUGGUUUGUAUAAAUUGACUUUAGUUCAUUUUCUUUACUUGGUCUACCAUCUGUGGUUAUCAUCUGCAGAUGGUUUUGACAGCAAGCUUCUUCAUAGUGCUACUCUUUUCACCAUUGAAAUCCCAGUUGGAUCACCACCCCACUCUUCAAACACAACCAACAAGUUUCCAGUUGGGUUCAGCCAAGCGCGAGGAACAUGAUACCUGAGAUUUGAGGUCAGUAAUCAGUCAUUUAUUCGAUUUUUUCGCAAGCUUAAUGGGGUGGAAAAAAAGGCAGGUGUUUCAUUACCAUUUUUGAGAAGGCUCCCCACAAUUAGUCUGGCAUUUCUUCUCGUUGUAUGUCCCUCUGUAAUCGCACCAAUCACAAGAACCAUAUGCCUUAUAGGCAGGCCAGUAUCUGCCAAUGCUUUGUCCAUUGAUCCAUAUCUGACCUUUGCCCAUGCUACUCAUGUCUAAUGCCAAUGGCUCAUUCCCAGCUGGAGCAUUAAAGAAAGCCUGGAAGAUGAUAAAGAUUAAGUGACACAAUAGUCUCAAACAUGAGAGGAAGGAAGAUGAACUUUAGGAUAACAUGUUUCUGUGUUGCAAGCAGUACUGACCUUGUACCAAGUCAAGGGCUGCUUUGUUGAUGCACCUCCCCACUCAACUGAAGAACUGCCACUAAGUGUAUGGAUGCUCAGGGAUUCACCUCUCAGGCCGAUCUACACACACAAACAUGGAACUCAGUAACCAGUAAGCAAGUUUUAGUCAGAGACUAAUGUAGGUAGGAAGAGUUGAUUGGAACCUGGUAAAUCCAUUUCUGUGAUGAAAGGUCUCUCUUUCCUUCAUUGAGACCUUCCAGAGUCACUGGACCAAGAACACCAGCAUUCCAUGUCUCAAAGUGGUUGCCAACAUUCUGAAACAGAUCAGAGAACAGAAAUCUGAUGUCUCAACAGCCAUCUUGUGUGUAUAAUUGUACAGGGUUAUUUGUAUGAUAUUUCAACUUUUCGAUCAAUGGCCAGGAAAUAUUUCACAACAAAUUAUGUACUCACAGGAAGACCAACAGCGACACUUAGAAUCGAGAUUUUGUUGCUUCCUGCCCACAACUUCACAUUUUCUCUGAAAGUCAGCUUUGGAUUGUCCAAACUACCAGAGACAGUCCCUGCCAGAAGAAAAGAAAGCAAAAGCCAAAUCGGAACCUCACCAAAUGUUGAGCAUAUCAUCAAGAAUCAAUUCUCCACAAGGCAAAGCCACUCACCAGCCCGUUCUCCAUUGAUGAAAACAUGCAUAGAAUGGCCUGCCGACAUCACAGUCAGGAAAGGGUAUCGGCCAUUCUUCAAGAAUUGUUCAUUUGAGUCUAUGUUAACACUGAAGAGUGGAGAUUGUGAGUCAUUGAGUGAUAGAUGUCAUUGAUUCUGUCUCAAAUAGACAAGCUGCAAAGGAACGUCUACUCACUAUGAAGUGUACCACAGGUAGUCUGUCCGAUCCCUUGUCAUGCUUAUCUGCUCCACCAAUCCAUCUUUUGUGAAUGAGUUAUCCCCCAGUGAGUUGGUAUCCUCACUGAAGGACUCCCAAGAAAAUCCACCAACCCAAGUCAUUUUAAUCUGUGAUGUUGGAGCUCCUACCUGUGUAUAUCAUUAGUAACUUUGUGUUAAAGACACUGUCAUGAAAAUUCAACCAUGGAAAUCCUUUUUCAUCCGAGAAAAUUUGGAAUACAUAGUGAGUUAUACAUUUUCUUUAGCCAAGAAACAAAUAACUCAAUAGAGAGGUGAGUUUUUUUAAUACAGUAGUAGAAGCAACCAUGACCGUUAAUCAUAAAAUAUUUCUCACCUUUGCAGUGUUGAACACUGAGGUUUUGCAGUCAGGAAGAAUGCUGAUGGACCAAGAUGGAAUAUUAUACUUCAUUCCAUUGAAAGUAACACUUGCAUAAGAAUGUGGGUUGAAAUUAGAAAGGAAUGCAGCACAUGAGCCUGACUUUGAUCUGUAUACAUGUGCCUGCAAGAAGUCGAAUGUAGAAAAGUUCCAAAAUGCAAAUCAUUGAAAAGAUUCCUGCAAAUUUUACAGCAAGAUAUAAGAAUUGAACCUCCUGAUAAUUUCCGAGUUUUGUCACUGUGGGAUCCCCAGACACAAGAGCUGGUUCACACAUUUUGAUUGCUUUAUGCAGGUCUCUCAGAUGUCCCCAUUUCGGCUGCCUCAACAGACCUGAGAAAGAUUAUGAUACGUUUAACACCAAAUAGAGGGAAUGGUAAUACUUGGCAUCAAAUAUAUUUGUAUUGCAUCAUCAGAUGCUUGACCAAUGAGAUUGCACAAUGUCUUCCUUGUAGAAGAGGAACAAGAUUUUGGCACCAAAAAGAAGAAAUAGGAAAAGGAGAAGCAACCUGAGUGGGAAUUGUAUUACUACUAAUCUUCUCUUAAUCUUGAAAAGAACCCAAGUAUUUGACCUAAAUAAUUCUCUAGGUGAGCAAUCACAACUUUAUACCCACGCAAGUAAAAAGAUCAUGCAUUUCUUUCUAAAAGCUGGAUGAGAUGAUCCAAAAUCACAUCUUUCUGGAAUUAUCACAAGCAUGCUAUGUGUGCAGAUGAUGAAGUCAACCAUGCCUUUUUCCUCACAUCAAAAGCUCCAAAAGGGGCAGAUCAAUGAGAAGUCAUGAGUUAAUUUAAAACCAAAUCAUUACAAAAUGAAAAUUGUUACAUAUGACACAAUCAUUGAAGAAAAACUGCAUACCGUAUUCAUCAAUUGGGGCAUCAUAGUCAUAGCUUGUCGAAAUAAAAGGACCACCAGCCGUCCUACCGAAGUUUGUUCCUCCAUGGUACUGCAGUUGACGGAAACGUGAAAAUUCUUUUACUUCAACAUGAUGUACAGCGUUCAGUAAUUACUGAAACAACUCAAGUAGAACAUACAAAUUCUUACCAUAUAGUAGUUAACGAAGGAUCCACCCUUCUGUAUAAACCUUGCAACGGCAAAAGCCAAGUCCUCAACAGGUCUGUGAGGAACUGGACCCCCGAAAGCAGUGAACCUAUUGAGAUAGAAUAUAUAAAAUAAAUUCACUAGAUCGAUUGAUUUCUUGUGAAAAUUUAUAUGAAUUCAAAUGUGAAGUAGAGGUUACCAGCCAGUCCAUGCUUCAGUCCACAUAGUAGGUUUAUAAGGCUUGUUUGGUGAGAAAUAAUCACAGUAGAACCCAUUGCAGGCAUUGAUCUGUAAAGCCAAGAUCCAAAAAUAAUAUCACAAUAAGUCAACUUAGCUGGUGUAACAGGGAAUUACAAUUACUCUAAUUGGUGCAGCUGUAACGUAAGUAGAAGAAAGUGUUGUUGAACAGGACAGGGUAAAGGAGGAACAUGAAUUUGGUGUUGUUCCUGAUAUGACAGAACAAUAAAACCGAAAUCUUGAACUUACCACUGGAUCAGGUGCAUCAUCUUGCUUGCACAUGACCCACGGCACACCGGUGUUGAGACCCACUGCCAUUUGAGCAGCCCAGCUUAGGUAGUUCUUGGCUGCAGUUCCGCCAUAGUACUCCACUGGACCAUAUUCGUUUUCAAUCUGCUCAAGUUAGACAGAGCAUGGAAGAGCAGAAAGCGAUUUAGAUGAGAUCUUUGGGAGCUGAUCAAUGACACAUAAAAGCUAACGAAUUGAUGAAAACAAAGAAGGAAAGGAUUCAAUGAUACCUGAGAGAGGAUAAUGGGACCACCCUGUGAUUCAAAUAAUCCUUCAGACUUCAUCAUGGCGACAAUCUUCUCUGUGAACUUCGCCAUGGCCGCCUUUUACAUGAACAGACCAAUUAGCAAUUGCUCGGUUAGAGGAGAUCGAGUAUAAACAUAUAAAGUGAAGUUCCUGUGGAUUCUUACCUUGAAAGGUCCAUUGUCGGUCCUGAAAUUGAUGCCAGGAACAUAUUUUAGCCAGACAGGAAAUCCCCUGUUUUACAAAGACAAGAUGAACAACAGAACAACAUCAUCAGAUUGCAUGAUUAGGCUUUUGAUUCCACAUAGAAGAAUUAAUCGAAGACCUCGUACCCAAAGUUCCAUUCGGCACAAACAUAAGGACCAAUCCGGAGAUGAACAUAGAGGCCGGCCUGCUUCACCAGCUUGAUGAAGCGAACCAGGUCGUAAUUACCACCAAAAUAAUACUGCCAAAGAUCAAGAAAAGCAACAAAUUGAGGCACACUGUGGGAAGGGGCAGUAGCCUUGGACGAGAGGGCUGGGAAAGUUUGGGUGAUCUCCGAACCUGACCAGGGGACGGCUCGUGGCCGUUCCAGAACACAUAGGUCUGGAUAACAUCCAAGCCGCCAUCUUUAGCCUUCUGGAUAAGAUCCGGCCACAUCUGGAGACGAUCCAAUCGACAAAGUUCAGAUUUUGGCACAGUAGAAUCACAGUGUACGAACAGCUCACCAGAAAGGCCACAUUUUCCACAGAGUUGGAAAUCUUACCUCCGGGGUGCUCCUGGGGUAGUGAAUGGAACCGGAGAUUAGAAUCCUCCUCUGCCCAUUGAUGAUGAUAGCCUUGUGGUCGUAUGAAACGGAGGCAUCGACCGGAGAGGAAAGCCACGGCGGCGACACCACCACCAACGUCACCGCCAGUAGCAGCAGCGUCGACAGUCUGCGGCCGCACCCAAGCGUCAUAGGCUCGAGGCCCUUGGUGGCCGGUCGGUCUUAGUUUCAAAGGAGUCUCCUUUAGUGUCCUGGCCGUAUAAUCUAUGUAUGAUAGAUCGGUGCGCUCUGUUCGUCCGUCUUCUCCUCUGCUAGAGAAGAUUUGGUGGAACUAUUGAACAGUAGCGGCACUGUAACAAGCACACACCGAGGAAGAAAGAGGGAGAUCAAAGUGGAGGGAGGGAAGAGGGAGUGAUGGGGGGGCUGUGGAGCGGGAGCAGGGGGUGGUGCCCUUGCGGUUUAAUACCCGAGGGCCGAAGGCGAGAACACGAUUGGCGCCGGAACAUGAGGACCCCACAGCCCCACCCACUAACGUGGAUGCUUGACUCACGUUUUCCUCCGUUCCCCGUGAACAGCUUAUCAGGAAUUUUCUUGCACCUAAAAAAGAAAAAUCACAUGGAAAAAGAUGGGUAGAAUUUUACAUGUGAUUACCUCAGAUGAGGUCAAUACACAUUGGGAGUUAGGGAUCUGCGUGCCAUCAAGUUUGGACUCUCUCUGAUGAGCACACUACUCUAAUCCUGAGGCUAAAUAGUGGUUUAAGCUAAACAAAACUAAUAAUUUAAUUAUCCUUUCAACAACUCUCAUGGCUCUUCCGUUCCACUGCAACAUUGAGACUUCGAACCAGACGCCACAAGGAACCGUCGAGCAUGCAAAGGUACGAGAGCUUGUUCUUUUCCUCUGUUUCUUGUGGCCGUGAGCAGCAGCAGCAGCAGUCCUCCCGCGAAUUCAAACACAUUUGAACCCCAAAGGAGCUGCCACCCCUGCAACCCAUACGUAGGCUGUUAAAUCCCACCCAGAAAAGAAGGGAACUGCCUGCAUGUACUGACCAACCACACACACCUCAAAUGCUUCAGCAACUCCCAACACACCAUCGAGCCGCAGCAGGAGUGUACUCCAACCCGUGCUCUGCUUCCUCCUGCAUGAAAAAGAAGGGUAGAAAAGGUUAACUUUGUCAGUGAAAGUAACAUGCGAGAGUUUAGUUUAAUCUCUUUGUGAGAGGUUUAGUUUGGUCAGUUAAGGAGGCAUCUUGUUCUUCUUUAUCAUGCUCAUUGUUUCAAGCUUUGGUCAUCAGUUUCUUCUAUAGGAUUACAGCUCUUUUAGGUACAGCUUUAGACCUUGCAUGCAUGGGCACCUGCAUCAAAGUCUUGAAGAAGACAUUGCACCAACUGAGCCUACCCAUAUGGACUAACAACAGCCACCACAAAAGCUGUAGUAGUUGUAGUAGUAUUCCUCCUACCAGUUCUCUUGCGUGACUCAUUGUUUCAGAGUAUGUGGCACCCGCAUCAAACUCUGGAAAGAGAUUGCUGGAUGAAUUCAUUGUGUCAUCAGACUUUUUGAAUGGGUUAGAUAACAUGUGUUUUGUUGUUUCUUAGCCAAUUAGAUUGAUCUGGAAGAUAAAUGUAAUGAAGGAUGGAGGGAUCAGACCUUCAUUAGAUUAAUCUUUCAUAUUGUUAAUAACCUAUUAUUUUCCUCACAUUCCAUGUUCUUGUUGGUUCCAUUUGGUUUGGGUGAGGGAAUCUCAUUAUAAAUACUGACCUUGCAAGAGACAUGCCCCUAAAUCACCUCCCUCAACUUGGGGGUGCAUUAACAACUCUAUCCACAUACUAUUUAUCUACCAAACACACACAAGCAAUUUGGUCUCCCUACCUGAUUUUUAGGAUCCUAGUGCCAUCUUAUCUGUCAUCAUGUAGUCACCUUAGUCGAGAGGCAGCAGUCUCAACUACCAUUACAGUUCAUCUUCUUUCUCUGACUCCAAUCUGAAGAAGAGAACAUCAUUGUGGAACUGAGCUGAAGCGAUUUGGCACAUAAUUAACUGUCUUUGUUUAGGUUCGUCUUGGUUUCAAUUAAAGGGGAAUCAUCUUCUGAUGUGACCAUGAUAUUUGGCAGCCGAGGUUGCACAGAUAGAUGAAGAACUUCUUCACGCUACUGCAUGGAGUGAUGAAGACCCCAUCAAAGAAACAAGAGAAACUGAUUGAUGGAAACCCAUUGCGUAGGGUAAGAGAAGAAGAGAAGGAGAAGAAGGCCGUCGAGAAGGUAGGGAUGGAUUUCAUUGGUGUCAUUAUCCUUUAAUUGUUGGGGUAUUUCCAUAGAAGAUUUGACUCCUUAUACUCAACUUUCAGCUUGAAGACGACCAGCUCAUAACUGAGCACUUCAUGGCUGGCCUGUGUUUGAUGGGCCAAUUAGUCCAAAUCAAACCACAUUAUCUCAUUGAAAGGUAAUCAAAGGAAAUGGUUUGAACUGAAUUUUCAAAAAGAGAUUUUGAGGUCUAAAACAACAAAAUAAGCCAUUAGCUGUUUUUUUAGCAGAAGAGAACAAUGGAUUUCUUUUUGUUCUUUUGCUUCAUUAAUUCUUCCACUUGAUUAAGAAUCUCAAUAAAUUAUUCAACGAGUUGUGCAAUCUCUUCUUAUCAGCAUAAACAGAGUCCAAGAAAGUGGACUCUCUCACCACUUCAAGCGAGCUUCUCCUCUAUCCAUUUUGGAUGAGAGCAACCUGGUGUUGUCAAAAGUGAGCAGCAAUUGCAACGUAGAUCUAAGGAUAAACAAUUGCUUGUUGGCCAUUGUUCUUGUCAUUCCUAACACGAACCUUUGUAUCACUCAUGUAUUCAUGUAUGAAGCUACUCUCACUUCCACAAAUCUUGGCCCACAAGGCCAUCCUAUCCUUCUUUCUCGAGAAGCUUACGUCUCUGUUCUUCUUGUUAUGUGUCCAAAAGAAAAUAAAGACAGAAAGGGAAAGGAAGGAAAAGAAACAUGAGUGGCCACCACUGCAUUUUGUCAAAUCAUGAUAUGCUCAUCUCACAAAAUGUUCCAGAGGCAAACCUAUCCAUGCACAUCUCUGCUUAUCUUCCACUCCUAGUCAUCACCACACUCAUACUUAUCUAUUUCUUGCAAGAAACAACUCAACUCACAAGAUUUUGAUGCAGGGAAUCUCACUGUUUAGAAUCUAGACACUCAACUCCGCAACUGCUUUUGUUCUUAGCCACUUUCGGUUCCUUUUUCGGGUGAGUGUUUGGAUCUGAUCUCAUCUCCAAGUCUUAAAUUAGCAAACUGUUGGCAAACUUUAGGUUCACUUGCUCGGAAUCUGAUCAACACAAUCCAAACAAGUUAGCAAACUGACUUCAUCUCCAUGUCUUUAAACAGAAUCAACCAAGUCAUAACUCAAGGAAGUAUACAUUGAUGGUCCCACGCCACACAUGGUUGGAGCUUUCAUUAGCCGACUGCUGCAUUACAUUCAUUCUGCAACCUCUCCGAAGGGAUAAGGCUUGUUUGAAGGGAAACAAUUCCUGCGCAUAUUCUUUGAGGAGAAAAGGAAAAAAAAUAAGAAUAAGAGAAAGAGAUAAAUGCAAGAGUUCUAUCGGAAGAAGCAAUUGAAACCAGAGACAUGCAAGAGUAGGCCACCUCUCUCUCCUUAUCCCUUGGGGACAGGAGUCCGCCACACUUGCAGCUGGCUUGUUGAUGACGGGUCAUGGAGCUGUCAACCUCAUCCCACUAAUUCUGCAUGACAUCUUUAGUAGGUUGAUUUGAGCUGAUAUCAAGUUAUAUUUCAGUGAUCAUUCAGCUGAAACAUUAAGCUUAAACAGCAUAUUCAGAUACAGAAGACCAUUGAGAUGUUUGAGGUGUGUGUUGAGAGAAACAACAAUAUAUGAGAAUGAAGAACACAACUGGCUGGUUUGCCAGUGGAUAAAGUUUGGAGUCGACAUCGAGGAUGCAGGUCUGCUACGACACCACAAAAGACUAUUGACUUAUUUUGAGGUCAGUAUCGACUGCUUGAUCUAUCCACACCCGACAUUGGUCAUCCUGCAACAGCUUUUUCUACCUCAAAAGACUCGAAUUCUUUCCUGGAUAACGGCAUACAAAGAAAUCUUUCUCAAAAUCUACAAGAUUUUGACCAGAUUGCUUGACAUGAAGUAAACAGGAGUAAUUUGGGUUAAGAAAUGCAGGUACUCAAUUAUUUGUCAAUCUCAAAUCAUUCUUGAAGAUGAUGCUGAUGCUUUUAGCUGAUAAAUCUUGCAAGACUUUCAUGUACUUCUUGGCCACAGUACCAUCUUCGACCAAGUCAUUGAUCUCUACAGACUUUGAUGGUGACAAAGUCUUAUCCACUCUUUCCUUUAAUCUAACUAAUCCAAGGAUGAUCUCAUCACUGGUGAGGGGAGAGAUUGUUUUCAUGAAACAAAUCCUGAUCAUCAAGAUCUUGAAUUUGAUUGUAGAAAUUAUGAAUAUAAAUAUAUAGUCAUUUAGCAUAAGGUCUUCAACUUGAUUUAGAUUUGAACUUUUCAACAUUGGAAAAGGUGGAAGAGAAAGAAAAAGGUUUACUUGUUUUGUUAUUAUGUGUUCAAAAAGCAUCCCAAAGUCAUAUUAGGAAAAAAUAUAUAAAAAGUAUUAACAUAAAUGGUAGAAAAUCAUGUUUCUCUCCCAAUGACCAGAGAGAAGAUUAAAAUACUUCAAACAACAUCAAAUUUAAUGAGGAAUUGACUUUAGAACAGAAAAUAAAAUCAUUUUUCUCAAAAAUCAACAAAUUUAUUUUGUAAAAUAAAAGGAAGAAAUGAGGGAUUAAAGAUCACUGAGAGAAGAAAAAAAACAUUUCACAAAAUAUUAAGGUCCCACCGAGAUUUGAACUCGUGUUACUGGAUUCAGAGUCCAAUGUCCUAACCACUAGACCAUGGGACCAGCUGUGAACGUUUUCAUACAAAAUAAUAUUAAUUAUAUAUUUAUAAAGCAUGCCUAAGGAGAAUCAGAUUCAGCUAAUGUAUUCUGUGGAUGUAACACCAAAACAAAUGGUUUGAUUUAGAAACAAUUUUUAUGUGCUAAUACCUGCAAAAGUCAUCUCCAUCAGCAAAAAGUUCCAAUAAUUGUUCAAAAAUGGAAUGGCUUAUUGCAUCACAAACACAUUCCCAGCGAAGAGACUCUAAUUUAUAUCCUAGCUCAUAUAUAUAAUAACUGAAGGCAAAUAAUGAACACAAUGAACAAACAUACUUGAGAACAAUGGAAUUUGCCUGCAGAAAGGAAAGGAGAAAACAAGAUGAUUGCUAUGGCAGAUGAUCUUGGGAUCUACAUUAGUGACUCAUCUGCAUAUUCUUUCUGAGAUGAAAUAUAAGUUUGAAGUUUAUAGUAUGCUGCAAAAGAUCUUUCGUUCUAAUUUUCUGAAGAAUAGAGAGUUAAGCUUGACUUAAUUUAACAGCCCGCAGAAGAACUUGAUGGAAAGGGCAUUGACAAAUAAGAAAAGCCAGGAGUUGGUCAUAAAUGUUCAAUUUGGAAUUACUAGAUGAGCACUCAAUUUUUCAAUACAUUAUAACAAAUCAAAGAGGAACACUGCAGAUUCUCACCUGGACACUAAUUCAUCCAAGCACUGGAAAUUUAUGUACAUAAAAUAAGUUGUUGUGUGAGACUGGCAUUCAAAAACAGAGUUUGUUAAAAAAAUGAACACUGAGCAAAACAAGGUAAGCCACCUAUUUUCUCCUAAGAAACCAUCAAAAUCAACAUUAAACUAAGGUAACUUUACCCAAAACCUGGAGGCACAUCAGGGUCCUCAUCGCUGACACCAACUGGAAUGAUGGAAGAAUUAACCGGUGGACCAAAACCAGGUGGCACAGCAUCAAUCUGUUCUGGGUCAUUAAGCGCUUCAUUUGAUGAGUGUGGUUGCUCAUCAUGAAGCAUCAUAGCGUGUUCAACUUUGCUGCUUGGCUGAUCAGUUGAACAAAAUCCUGGCGGUACUUCCAUUUGUUCAUUUCCAUCAGACACAUUCGUCUCACAUGUAGAAGGUGCUACGAGAGAAGCUUGAUCCUUUUCGUCACCAACAAGUAGUCUUUUUUGAGGAGAAACGCUGUCUUGUUUAUUCACUUCUGGUUUAACAAUUCUAUCAUAUACAGACUCCACAGUACCUCUAAUAUCAUUUUCACAUGAUUUGAUAACCUUCCACACCUCAUCUGAAAUUUGUCCCAUGAUUUUGCUUCUGCAGAAAUAGUACUUUGUCAUAUCAGUUGCAGAUGGCAGCCUCAGAGCUCAGAACUCUCACUUCAAGAAUUACAUAGUGUCAUAAUACAAUAUAAACUAGUGAUGAUCAACUUAUAGUUGUUCGAUGCUUACCCAAGCUCUUGAUAAAUAGCAUCAGAAAGUUGUCUUAGCUUCAAUUUCUCAGAACCAUCUUCAUUAAGUACCAUUGAUUGUCUCACCUCGGAUACAAUGCUGCUACGCAGUUCCUCCUGUAAAAAAUACCACAUUCAGCUACAGCUACAUAAAUAUAUUAAUUAAUAAAAAUUAUAUAACAAACAAAAUAUCAUAGAAACUAGUACUACGAGUUCACAAUGUCAGUUGCAAACAUCUCAUAAUUCCAACAAUGGUAAUAGAUACAUGGAUCAAGCCCAACCUCCAUAAUUGGAUUGUCAUGCAAAAGUAUUAGUUGUAUGCAAAUGAUAAAUUUUGACACCAGUAAAGGACAUUAUUAUAGUCAUGGCUUCUACCACUAUGGAAUCUAGGAAAAAUUAGCGGUAUGAAGCUUUAGCCUCAUAUAAAGAGGUUAAAUUCUGCAGACACAAGAAAAAAGAGACACAAUUAAGAUUGCCUUGAUAUAAGAUGAAAAACAAAUAAUUAGUUGUUGCUCUACCAUCCUAGGACUCAGAAGUUCUGAUCUUAGAGAGAGCAAUGAAGUGGGUGUAAAAACAAACUAGAAGUACAUUUAAGGGAGCAAUCAAGUGGCUAUGGUGACAAUGUUCCUAGUAGAUCAUGUGUGUCCAACUUGGAUCUCAAUGCAGUUUCAUAUGAUGCAAAAUCAGUAACCUCUCGUUAGUCAUGACAAGUCAAGAAUAAUAUAUAACUUGAUAAAAGGUACUGUUAAGCUAAAUGAACAAACAAAUUAACUUAAUUCUAAAAGAACUCAGGUUAGCUAAACACCUUAGUCGACCAUGUUAACAUGGCUGCUUCUAGUAUUCUCUUCAGUUUCAUGUUCUCAUCUAUUCUUUAACAUCUCACCAUUGUCCAAGCCCAAAAAUUAUCAUUCAGCACAUAUCAAAGGGCAUCCACAACAUUUUAAAAACAUAUUUUUUUAUUACUAGAGUUUAUUAGCAUUUUAAUAUUAUAUAAUACAAUAAACAACGAACGUUAGGAUCUGGAAGCAAAGAACUUGCAACAACUUUUUCAAGAAAAAAAUAAAUUAAUCAGCAACAGAAAAAUGCUUUAUUAAACAUAUCCGAUUCUAACAGCUUACUCUAUGAAUUUAACUAGUUUAAAACAACAAAAGAAUGAAACCAAUAACAACAACUUAGAGUUGCAUGCCAAAUUUGAUCUAAAAUCCUUUCAAGACUGCUAGUUGCCUGUCGUUCCAAUGUCCAGAUGAUGUUAGGACAUCAACAAUAUAAAUAUAAUACAUGAAUAUCUUCCACAUGAUUAUAAGAGUUACCAUCGACUUCUGGCACUCAUAAACAAACUACCCCAGGGCAAUUAUAUCAGUCCCAACUAUUUUCUGAUACAAUACAGUUAAAUCAAAACCUACCUAAUUGAAUAGCUAUUUUAAUAUGGGUAAUUGCUUGAAACAGCUAGGGCAUUAUGCAUAAGGGACCUCCUCAUUUCCAAGGUCUGAUGUUUCUAUGCCCUAAAAAUAUCUUCACUGCCAUCAUUUGUUCUCCUACUCUCCAUUUGUUUUAUCUUUCUUCCAAAGCUCUUCUUAGAGCAUUUUCUUCCCCAAUCUGUGAGUCAUACUAACUUAAGCAUGGAGGAGGAUCCCGCCAAGCACAACCGCGGUGCUAGUACAAAGUGUCCUAGCAAUGAAAAAGCUUACUACACGCCCUUGUUGGCACUUGGCGCCACCAAAGCUUCUUCCAAGAUCAACUCCAUGUCACAUUCAAGAGCUUCCUAAGCAUCACAAAACCUCAUGAAACAAUUUUCCGGAACAGUUCCAUGUUUGGCAAUGAAUAAAGCAGAUGCGAAUUGGAGAAAGUUCCGCUUCACAUCAACGAAGGGAUCAGAGGUGGCAAUUUGAUGAAAAACCAAACAAUGCCAAACUCAUACAAUUCUCAUCCAAUAAUGAAGAAAAGGCGCACAAAAGGAAGAAUCUUUCGGCAAACUCACAUUUUCUUUAACUUUGCGGAUGAUCUUGAGACGGAGGGAGUCGAAGUCACCGUCAUCCUUCAGCCUCGCGAUCACCUCCUCCGCAGUCGGCCGCCUUUCGCCGUUCUCCAUACACCCGUCUCCCCGAUCUCAACCACGGUCGGACAGAUCGAAACCCUAAUUUCCUCCGAUCCCAAGAGGCCUCUUUUAACGAUCUCACUCCGACUCCGGGAGAGUCAAGGAUCCGCUGCAGUCAUACGACGGAGGCUAUACUAAUCGAAGCGAGCCCGGUCCAGUAACAUCUGGACCGGACCAAAUGAAGGCCCGCUUCCUUGGAAUUUUAAGAACCCCAAAUAAAGGCCUGAUUCGAGACGAUCCUACAAUUGGCUACCGAAACCAUGCUACGUAACAUGGUCGAUCAAACGAUGUCAAUUAAUGCACCGAUGACGAGAGCAUUCCAGAUCUACAAAUCUACCACAGCAAAGCGCGGGUCCCACCAGAGUCCACAUCACCCGAGCAACUUAUCCAUGGUGACUAACGCUCGCACGUAACCCUUGAAAAAAGAGUCUUGGAGCACUUGUGUAACCUCAACGAUCCAUUACUGCACUUAUCUUGUGGACGUUGCACUCGAUCGAUCGAAUCGAACUGAGUAAUAAAAGAAAUCCAAGAUUAAUUAGGAUGCAAGCAAACUAGUGCAAAUCCAUCUGCUGAUUCAUCAUCAACUUCAACCAUCAGUCAAAAAGAUGGGUAAUGAUCAGCAAUGCACCAAACAUUCUUGUUAUAUAUGUAUUCAUCUGAGCACUAAAUCACCUACAGAAACUAGCAGAUGUAGCCCUCGUUUAUCAUGCUGAGGAUCUCAGUGUUCAACCCUUUUCCAUCAAGCUACCAGUAUUCUUCAUUCCACUGUCAACCUGAGAUGGUGUCUUGAGCACCCUAGCUAUGAAUCUAGCUCAACAAUGUCGAUUGCAUCUGGUUCUUUUCAUACAUAUAGUCUUAGCAGCCAUAGUCUCCCAAGCAAUUCAACAAUGACUUGGUCACAAACAAAUCCAUCAAAAUCUCACAGAAUCUAAAAAGGAUUUUAAGUAUUGACUGGCCAGUUUAGACAAUUGAACCCACUACUACUACUCCCACUGAUAAAUGUCAUCCAACCUUGUAGAUUUCCACAGGUGGCAUGUGUCCCACCCUUACUGUCAAUUAAUGACAGCUUGAACCGAUCAUAAUUCUCUUCAUAUCUUUGUGAAAUUUCAUGCAAUAACUGGAUCAUAAGAAUGUUUGUUACAGCCAAGUUUCUCGUCUUUGUUAGCAUGCAGAUCAGCCAAAUUAAGGCUUAAGCUAAUAGAUGCAACAGGAUAUGUCAUUAUCUUUGUGCACCCAAAGAAAAAGUGUUUCUUUUUGGUACAAGCCAAAGUGGUGUUCUACUAGAGCUCUACGUCAUGAGUGGAUUCUUCUACCCAUAUAAGAAGAAGAAGAAGAAGAAGAAAGCUCAAGGACAUCAUCAUAUCUUGAGAAGAUUCCACCUCUACCAAGGUAGACAAAGACUUGACACACAUAAAGAAACAUGUCACACCAUGAGAGCACUACAUUGGAUGUAAACCGGCAAAGGAGACCCCAUGUUUUGAGCAGGAAACAUGCAGCUGGGAUAAAACAGAUGCUUCUCCCCCAAACUGCUGCAAAGUAGAAUGUAAAGGAUUUCUUGUUCGGUCCCCAAGGAAGAUUUCUUCUGAACAGGUAACCUAGCACACAAUGCUGACUGCUGAGGACAAGCAGACCUAUGAGGACAAGAAUGGGGCAGGCAUGUGGCCGUCGCUAGCACACAGGAACAAGAUUGCUGAAUCCUAAUCCACAAAACCAUGGUUACUUGCAUGAUAAGCUUAUAUAUUCUUACACACAACCCCACAUGGAGUGUUGCUGACUUUACAGACACAAGAAGAAGAUGGUGGUGUUUUAGUGGCCAUGCUGUUUGGUUGGGAGUUGGGAGUUGGGAGUUGCUUUAGUUACUGAAACUCACAAGGUGUGCAGAGAAAGUGAAGAUGCAAUGCAUUCUCUCCAAACAAUGAUGUAAAAGCCUUAGUGUGUUUGGAUAAUUAGAGUUCAAAUGCUGUUGGACAUAGCACUAUUUAUUCUAUUAUUUUGUUGGUGGCCCUUACUGAAAUCAUAUUGUCCUUCAAACAAGUAGCAAUCAAUGUGCAACAACUUUUUUUGUCACAUUUCAUUAAGAUAGAGCUAAAAAAUAUAGCUUAUCAUCA
This 22378-nucleotide long non-coding RNA is filed under the name Musa acuminata (dwarf banana). RNAcentral's name for it is "long non-coding RNA (MACU_LNC003831)". The record is from RNAcentral. Lineage: Eukaryota; Viridiplantae; Streptophyta; Magnoliopsida; Zingiberales; Musaceae.